UACGUAGGGGGCUAGCGUUGUUCGGAAUUACUGGGCGUAAAGCGCACGUAGGCGGGUCGUUAAGUCAGGGGUGAAAUCCCAGAGCUCAACUCUGGAACUGCCUUUGAUACUGGCGACCUAGAGUUCGGAAGAGGUUAGUGGAAUUCCCAGUGUAGAGGUGAAAUUCGUAGAUAUUGGGAAGAACACCAGUGGCGAAGGCGGCUAACUGGUCCGAUACUGACGCUGAGGCGCGAAAGCGUGGGGAGCGAUCCGG
RNAcentral lists this ribosomal RNA (253 nucleotides) under uncultured bacterium. RNAcentral describes it as "partial 16S ribosomal RNA". It matches the Rfam family "Bacterial small subunit ribosomal RNA", at positions 524 to 776 of the family's 1533-position model. The record is from RNAcentral.